This 133-nucleotide ribosomal RNA is filed under the name uncultured bacterium. RNAcentral's name for it is "partial 16S ribosomal RNA". It matches the Rfam family "Bacterial small subunit ribosomal RNA", at positions 356 to 480 of the family's 1533-position model. The record is from RNAcentral.
GGGGAAUUUUGCGCAAUGGGCGAAAGCCUGACGCAGCAAUACCGCGUGAGUGAUGAAGGCUCUUGGGUCGUAAAGCUCUGUCAGAGGGGAAGAACCACCUGUCGUUUAAUACGCGGCAGGCCUGACGGUACCC